RNAcentral lists this ribosomal RNA (253 nucleotides) under uncultured bacterium. Its description in RNAcentral is "partial 16S ribosomal RNA". It matches the Rfam family "Bacterial small subunit ribosomal RNA", at positions 524 to 776 of the family's 1533-position model. The record is from RNAcentral.
UACGGGGGGGGCAAGCGUUGUUCGGAAUUACUGGGCGUAAAGGGCGUGUAGGCGGCUUCGUGUGUCCCAUGUGAAAGCCCUCGGCUCAACCGGGGAACUGCAUGGGAAACUGCGGAGCUUGAGUCCGGGAGAGGUGAGUGGAAUUCCCAGUGUAGCGGUGAAAUGCGUAGAUAUUGGGAGGAACACCGGUGGCGAAGGCGGCUCACUGGACCGGUACUGACGCUGAGACGCGAAAGCCAGGGGAGCAAACGGG